GAAUUAUUCUCUCUAAAACCUUCACAACCGAAACUGUGUGUGUAUAAAUAGUUAAAUACAUAUACACACGCACUACACACACUUCUUUUAUAUUAAUUUAAUCUCUGAGAGUUGGGGGGAGCUUUUUCUACAGUAGGUGGUGGUUGAAGAAGGGAGGCGGCAAAAAAAAAAAAAAGAAGGAAUGGGAGUGCCGGCGUUUUACCGGUGGCUGGCCGAUCGGUACCCGUUGUCCAUCGUCGACGUGGUGGAGGAGGAGCCGAGGGAGGACGCAAACGGUGACGUUGUACCUGCAGAUGUCUCGAAGCCAAAUCCUAAUGGAAUAGAGUUUGAUAACUUGUAUUUGGAUAUGAACGGGAUUAUUCAUCCGUGUUUUCACCCAGAAGGCAAGCCUGCGCCGACCACCUAUGAUGAUGUCUUCAGAUCAAUAUUUGAUUACAUAGACCACUUAUUCUCACUGGUUCGCCCAAGAAAGCUUCUUUAUAUGGCAAUUGAUGGCGUUGCUCCUAGGGCUAAAAUGAACCAGCAACGAUCUAGGCGUUUUAGGGCUGCUAAAGAUGCUGCUGAAGCUGAAGCUGAAGAAGAAAGGUUGAAGAAAGAAUUUGAGGUUGAGGGGGCUAAUUUAUUGCCAAAAGAGAAGCCCGAGACAUCUGAUUCAAAUGUCAUCACCCCUGGUACUCCAUUCAUGGCGGUGCUUUCUGUAGCGCUUCAGUAUUAUGUACAGUCUAGGUUGAACCACAAUCCUGGCUGGAGGUUUACAAAGGUUAUUCUUUCUGAUUCAAAUGUUCCUGGUGAGGGAGAGCACAAAAUCAUGUCAUAUAUUCGUUUACAACGUAAUCUUCCUGGCUUUGAUCCAAACACCCAACAUUGUCUAUAUGGUCUGGAUGCUGAUCUGAUUAUGCUGUCUUUAGCUACACAUGAAGUCCACUUUUCUAUAUUGAGGGAGGUAAUUACUCCACCUGGGCAACAGGAAAAAUGUUUUUUAUGCGGUCAAGUUGGUCAUUUGGCAGCUGAGUGUAAUGGUGCGGGUAGUGGGUCUAAAGAUGCAAAUGGGAAUUUGGUAAAUGACGUUCCUAUUCACAAGAAAAAGUAUCAGUUCCUCAACAUAUGGGUUUUACGUGAGUACUUGCAGUAUGAUUUAGAGAUAGUCAGCCCUCCAUUUGCGUUAGACUUUGAAAGGCUGGUGGAUGAUUUUGUGUUUUUGUGCUUCUUUGUUGGCAACGACUUUCUACCUCAUAUGCCUACAUUAGAAAUUAGAGAGGGGGCUAUCAAUCUGCUGAUGGUUGUAUACAGAAGGGAGUUCACGGCAAUGGGUGGUUAUCUUACUGAAGAGGGUGAGGUUCUGCUGGACAGAGUUGAACACUUUAUUCAGGCUGUUGCUGUUCAUGAAGAUCAAAUUUUUCAAAAGCGUGCUCGUAUACAGCAGGCCAUAGAGAAUAAUGAAGAGAUGAAGCUUAAAGCAAGAGGAGAGAGCAACGAGGAGCCCCAGGCUCAAGUUGUGGAUAAGGUAAAGUUAGGGGAGCCUGGUUACAAAGAAAGGUACUAUUGUGAGAAAUUUGGAGUAUCAAAGCCAGUGGAGAUUGAUGAAGUCAGAAAUGAUGUAGUUCAGAAGUAUGUGGAGGGGUUAUGCUGGGUGUGUCGGUAUUACUACCAAGGUGUCUGCUCAUGGCAAUGGUUCUAUCCAUAUCAUUAUGCUCCAUUUGCUUCUGACCUUAAAGAUCUAGCUGAUUUAGAGAUUACAUUUUUUCUUGGGGUGCCAUUUAAACCCUUUGAUCAGCUCAUGGGUACCCUGCCAGCUUCAAGUUCAAGUGCUCUUCCUGAGAAGUACAGGAGCUUAAUGACUGAUCCAUCAUCGCCUAUUAUACAUUUCUACCCAUCUGAUUUUGAAGUUGACAUGCAUGGGAAGCGAUUUGCCUGGCAGGGUGUUGUGAAGUUGCCAUUCAUUGAUGAGAACAAAUUGCUUACUGCUACAAAGAAACUUGAAGAUUCGUUAACGGAAGAAGAGCGACAUCGUAAUAGUGUGAUGUGUGAUUUGCUCUAUGUCCACCCCCUCCAUCCUCUCGGUCCACAUGUUCUGUCAUACUAUCACCUGUCUGGUUUAGUGCCUCUAAAAGAGCGGCACCCUUGCGCUAUUGACACCAAUGCAAGUGGUGGAAUGAAUGGAUUUAUGUGGUUAACUGAGAGGAAUCGUAAGACACCAGUAGUUCCUUCCUCAGUUAAUGGAUUUCCAGAUAUCAUCAACAAUGAAACACUAAAUAUAACCUAUUUGAAUCCGUUACCUCAUAAGCACAUCCCAAGGCCUCCUGAUGGUACAGUAUUUCCUGAAAAGGUCCUAAGAGCAAUUGACAUUAAACCAUUCCCUGUGUUAUGGCAUGAAGAUGUUGGUAGCAAGCGCCAGCUAGGAAGAAAUAGGCCACAGGUACCUGGAGCAAUAGCUGGUCCUUCGCUGGGUGAAGCAGCACACCGUCUACUUAACAACACACUCAAUAUAAAUUCCAACUAUAAUUACUCUGGGGUGAGGGCACAAAAGGCUAACCAGAAUUUCCCAAGAAACCAUCUUACAGAUAGGCCGAGACCUGCUGGACCAUCAGGAUAUGAAAGGGGCUUCUCUGAGCAAAUGACUUAUCGAAGCGCUCUGGGCAACGAUGCAGUAAAUAAGCCUAGGCCUCCUGGACAAUCUGGAUAUGGAGGCUUUGUUGGGGAACCAAAUUAUGUCAAUGGAUAUCAUAAUUCUCGGGGCAUGUUGGGUGGUCAGGGAUAUGCUUCUUCACCAUUUGAGUUGCAGAGCUACAGGCAAAAUUUCAGGGCACAAUGUCGAUAUCCAAGUCAAGAUCAGUAUUACAACUUAAGGAAUGGAAUGACUACCCUGACAAUUGAAACUGGCGGUCGAACAAGGCCAAAUGCUGCAUUUUCUCCAAGGAUGCCAAAUUCAGUGCAGUCAUCUAAUACAGGCCACAUUCAUGUGCAGAAUGUCAGUCCACUUCCAUCACCUCCUUCAAAGUGGAUCAGCAAACCUGCUGCUGGAACAGCUUCAGGAUACGAGAAGCAAGUGAAAAAAGUUUAUCAAGUCAAAAGCCGACCCAGUCAGAAUUCAUCUGAUAUAGGAUCCAGUAAUGCUGUUGCAUAGGUUGGACUGUUUGCUGAUGUCAAGUGGACCUUUACGUAAUCUGUUUCAGUAGAGCAAGGAUGUCAAAAUAUUUGGUGCAUGAGUACAGGUCCUAGACUCUGGAUGAAACAAUUACGAACAGUUCGAAGCUUGUCGCUAUGUAAUCUUGUUUCAGAGAAAUAUCAGAAACAACGCUUGGUCUUCUGGUGCAGUUUGCGCUUUUAGAUGUCUCCACGUUACUUGCUUUGCUUCUAGUGAUUUUAUUGAAGAAUAUUGCAGAUGUUCGUUACCUGAGUUGGUAAUGCACGAGGAUCUCCAAUAGUGUUUUAUCUCACAAAAGAACUUACUCUCUGAACAUAGACUUGCUGUUAACAACAGGGUAUCAUAAGCAAGAUAUACAUGCUCGGUCGCUCUCAUGUUUCCUAUCAUUUGCCCAUGUGGUGCGGCGGGGCUUGGAGAUUUCAGUGUUAUUCACAAUCAACAGGAGUAUUCUAAACAGCUUGUGCGCUACAAAUAGAGAAACUUCAGUUAAGUUUCUGUUGUAGGAGCAUCCAAGAUAAAAAAUCCAAGAAACAAAGCCAGAUUUGAAGUGAUAUCCAAAAGACGCAGGAGCAACAGACAACCUAAGUUCCAUACCAUUUGCCAUUAGCUUGGCAUCUUCUGAGCCUACUCUCCAUACUGUAAGCUGGUAUCAGUGGCCAAAUUUAGGUUCUCAUUAAUGAUUUUAGCUACUCAUGAAGGAAUCUGUCUACGCAGGUAUUGUGUAAAUCUUACUAGAUGUGGAAGGUGCAAUUUAAGAAAAUCGUUGUUAUAUUCGUUUGCUAGAUGCAGGCUAGCUUUCAUAAUGCUUACAAUAUGCACAUCACUACCAGACGAGAUGUGGUACCCCUUAGAUCUACCUUUCUCCUUUCCAGUUGUGUAACUGUUUUAAGGGUAAGCAACAAAAGUCAUGGAGAAACAAGCUAACCAAUUUUUGACUUGAAUAUUUGAUUAGUUUCUUCC
RNA transcript from Coffea arabica (coffee), 4105 nucleotides. It is a transcript of the gene named 5'-3' exoribonuclease 4, with no coding region annotated. The record is from RefSeq and is a predicted model, not a curated record. NCBI's taxonomy places the organism in Eukaryota, Viridiplantae, Streptophyta, Magnoliopsida, Gentianales, Rubiaceae.